This 671-nucleotide ribosomal RNA is filed under the name uncultured Bacteroidota bacterium. Its description in RNAcentral is "bacterial SSU rRNA". It matches the Rfam family "Bacterial small subunit ribosomal RNA", at positions 62 to 737 of the family's 1533-position model. The record is from RNAcentral. Lineage: Bacteria; Pseudomonadati; Bacteroidota.
UCGAGGGGUAUGGUAGCAUACCAGAGACCGGCGCACGGGUGCGUAACGCGUAUGCAAUCUACCUUUUACAGAGGGAUAGCCCAGAGAAAUUUGGAUUAAUACCUCAUAGUAUUACGACCCGGCAUCGGGAUGUAAUUAAAGUCACAACGGUAAAAGAUGAGCAUGCGUCCCAUUAGCUAGAUGGUAAGGUAACGGCUUACCAUGGCAACGAUGGGUAGGGGUCCUGAGAGGGAGAUCCCCCACACUGGUACUGAGACACGGACCAGACUCCUACGGGAGGCAGCAGUGAGGAAUAUUGGACAAUGGGCGCAAGCCUGAUCCAGCCAUGCCGCGUGCAGGAUGACGGUCCUAUGGAUUGUAAACUGCUUUUGCACAGGAAGAAACAACGCUACGUGUAGCGUCUUGACGGUACUGUGAGAAUAAGGAUCGGCUAACUCCGUGCCAGCAGCCGCGGUAAUACGGAGGAUCCAAGCGUUAUCCGGAAUCAUUGGGUUUAAAGGGUCCGUAGGCGGUUUGGUAAGUCAGUGGUGAAAGCCCAUCGCUCAACGGUGGAACGGCCAUUGAUACUGCCAGACUUGAAUUAUUAGGAAGUAACUAGAAUAUGUAGUGUAGCGGUGAAAUGCUUAGAGAUUACAUGGAAUACCAAUUGCGAAGGCAGGUUACUACUAAUG